CUUUUUUUCUCCUCUUGAAUUAAUAUAAAACUCCAUUUGGUAACGGAGGCAUAUGGAAUGCAAAAUCCAAGAAUGACACUCACCCCUCUUGAAUUAAUACCAAACUCUGUUUGAUAAUGGAGACAUACGGUCACUCCUCUUGAAUUAAUACCAAACUCCAUUUGGUAAGGUAAUUAUACAGAAAGGCAAAGUCAAGAACGAAGGUGAGAGAAUUUGGAAAUUCAUGUGGAGUUUUCUCUAUUUCAGGUAUGUUAAGGCUAAGCCCUUCUUUCAUUUUGACAUGAUCUCGUAAUUGCAUAUGUGUGAUAAUGACUCAUAAAGAGAAGCUAAUACUCCCUAACUUAUAUAAAUGAUCCUAGUCUCAUAAGUUACAAUAUUCACCCUUAUCAGAAUUUCAUAUUCAAUUGAGUAUUAUCUUCUUCCAGUUAACAAAAGCAGAGAGCCUAUAUAUACAAUUGUAUAAUAUUUUCAUUGCCAUCGAGAUAUAAUCGAUGCGCAGGCCCCUAUUGGGCAACCUCUGAUCAGAUGGUAAGUUAUAUAUCGAGCCUAUUAUAACCGAGUGCCUAUGAGCGAUCCCUGUUGGCUACAAAGCCUAGCAUGGCCGAGUGCCUAUGAGCGAGCCUACUACGGAAGAGCAAUUUUAUAUACCGAGCCUUAUAAGGCCGGACAACUAUUUUACUUACUAUAUUGAGAGAGUUGAGUUAGUAUCAACAGGUAAACAUAUCUUCAAAUUAUCUUUGACCCGCAGUUACUUUCACUUAUAUUAUCACUUAAGUUUCAACUUUCAGUAUAUUGCAUUACAUACUCGGUAUAUUAUUCUGUACUGACGUCUUUUUACUAGGAGCGCUGCAUUUCACGCAUGCAGGUUCAGAUAGACAGACAGGUAGACUUCUUCAUUAGGUGUUGCCCAAGUUCAUCUUGAUCGGAAAGCUCCAUGCCCUUCAGUGUUGCCGAGUCCAGAGCUUUAUGUACAUCUUAUAAUAUGUAUAUAUGUUAUGAGUAGGUUGGGACCCUGUUCCGUUUACAGUAUAUCCAUCGAUAGAGGCUUGUAGACAUAUCCUGGCAGUUGGUACAGUAUGUUGGAUUUCUAGGCCUUUUAUGUAUAUUUUGUUGGUUUUGCCAUAUGUAGUAGUUAUGAUGGCCUUAUCGGCACAGCUUUAUAUUAAUAGUUAGUCUGCAUUCGCAAUUGUCUUACAAUAUGUCUCAUGGCCAAUGUAUGACCUUAUAUGUUCGGAGUCCGUUAGUCGCAAGUUGAUACGUAAGAAUAAGAGAGGCACUGGGUGCCGGUCUCGGCAGCCAAGUUUGGGGCGUGACAUUAUUGAUCUUUAUGGACAUCACAGGCUCCUGCCAAGGGCCUUGGAGGAUGGAGUGCAGGGAGUGCAUGUUAGUGAUCCAAGUAUUGGUUAGGAAGUUUACCCUAUUCCCUUUUUGGACUACCAAGCUAGAGACUUUUGUGCAUACCUUCCAACUGUCAUGCAUGCAUUGCCAUGUCCUAGUUGUUGGUUUUUCCCUCGUCUUAUUCCCACUAUAAUGUUUAUCCAUUAGGACUCUAGCUCAGAGUGAGUCGAUGUUGUGAAACAAUCUCCAUGCUAGACUGGUGUGACUUGUCCUAUUCUGCAUUUCAGCUUUUUGUAAACCCAGGCCCCUUAGUUUUUGGCUUGGUCACUGUGUCCCAUUUAAUUAUGUGGAGUUUCGUUUUCUCAGAGGUGGUGCCC
Molecule: long non-coding RNA, 1715 nt
Filed under: Nicotiana benthamiana
Lineage: Eukaryota; Viridiplantae; Streptophyta; Magnoliopsida; Solanales; Solanaceae
Description: long non-coding RNA (NBEN_LNC014451)
Source: RNAcentral